This 775-nucleotide ribosomal RNA is filed under the name uncultured Neocallimastigales. Its description in RNAcentral is "partial large subunit ribosomal RNA". It matches the Rfam family "Eukaryotic large subunit ribosomal RNA", at positions 23 to 640 of the family's 3401-position model. Lineage: Eukaryota; Fungi; Neocallimastigomycota; Neocallimastigomycetes; Neocallimastigales. The record is from RNAcentral.
ACACGCAUGACACACUGCAUAUCAAUAAGCGGAGGAAAAGAAACUAACAAGGAUUCCCUUAGUAACUGGCGAGUGAAGCGGGAAGAGCUCAAAUUUGAAAUCUUCAAGGUUCUACCUUGACGAAUUGUAGUUUAUAGAAGUGUUUUCUGUUAGUAGAGUGGCAAAAGUUCUUUGGAAUAGGACAUCAUAGAGGGUGAGAAUCCCGUAUUUGGUCAUUCUUUCUAGCUUUGUGAUACACUUUCAACGAGUCGGAUUGUUUGGGAAUGCAGUCCAAAAUGGGUGGUAAAUUUCAUCUAAAGCUAAAUAUUGGCGAGAGACCGAUAGCGAACAAGUACCGUGAGGGAAAGAUGAAAAGAACUUUGAAAAGAGAGUUAAACAGUACGUGAAAUUGUCAAAAGGGAAGCGUUUGACACCAGUGUUGUUUUUCCGAAAAUCAAUUACGAAUGUUUUAUUUUUGAGAAGUUAUGACUUCAUCGGCUUGCUUCUUUCUUUACGAAACUUUCUUAAUGCACUUUUCGGUUAACAAGUCAACAUCAAUUUCUUUUGUUGUAAAAGGGUACGAGGAAGGUGGCUUUCUUUUCGGAGAAAGUGUUUAUAGCCUUGUACCUCUGCAAUCGGAGAGAUUGAGGUCUGCAGCGUAGAUCCUUCGGGGUUAGAUACAUUUGUGCUAAGUUAUAGCUUUUCAUAGACAACUUGUUGACUAUGUUAAGUCUUGUAGCUUACUCGCUUAUGCUAUUUUACCUACGCUUAGGAUGUUGAUCUACAGAGCGAGAGU